CCCUUAGAUGUUCUGGGCCGCACGCGCGCUACACUGAUGCAUUCAACGAGCCUAUCCUUGACCGACAGGUCCGGGUAAUCUUUGAAUCUGCAUCGUGACGGGGAUAGAUUAUUGCAAUUAUUAAUCUUCAACGAGGAAUGCCUAGUAGGCGCAAGUCAUCAGCUUGCGUCGAUACGUCCCUGCCCUUUGUACACACCGCCCGUCGCUCCUACCGAUUGGGUGUGCUGGUGAAAUGUUCGGAUCGGCCGUUUGUCGCGGUUUCCGCGGCUCGUGGCUGAGAAGUUCAUUAAACCCUCCCACCUAGAGGAAGGAGAAGUCGUAACA
Molecule: ribosomal RNA, 324 nt
Filed under: uncultured eukaryote
Lineage: Eukaryota
Description: partial 18S ribosomal RNA
Rfam family: Eukaryotic small subunit ribosomal RNA
Source: RNAcentral